This is a ribosomal RNA of Coprobacillus sp., 109 nucleotides long. NCBI's taxonomy places the organism in Bacteria, Bacillati, Bacillota, Erysipelotrichia, Erysipelotrichales, Coprobacillaceae. The record is from Rfam.
UCUGGUAGCGAUAGCAUGAUGGAAACACCUGUACCCAUCCCGAACACAGAAGUUAAGCAUCAUAACGGCGACGAUAGUGAGCAAUCGCGACAAUAGCAAGCUGCCAGUU